UACGUAGGGGGCAAGCGUUGUCCGGAAUCAUUGGGCGUAAAGCGCGUGUAGGCGGCCCGAUAAGUCCGCUGUGAAAGUCCAGGGCUCAACCCUGGGAUGCCGGUGGAUACUGUCGGGCUCGAGUCCGGAAGAGGAGUGUGGAAUUCCUGGUGUAGCGGUGAAAUGCGCAGAUAUCAGGAGGAACACCAAUGGCGAAGGCAGCACUCUGGGACGUGACUGACGCUGAGACGCGAAAGCGUGGGGAGCAAACGGG
This 253-nucleotide ribosomal RNA is filed under the name uncultured bacterium. Its description in RNAcentral is "partial 16S ribosomal RNA". It matches the Rfam family "Bacterial small subunit ribosomal RNA", at positions 524 to 776 of the family's 1533-position model. The record is from RNAcentral.